CCAUGUGAGAAAUGAUGAACAUAUGAACAUUCUUCAUAAAAAGUGAAGACAUGAGAUCCAACUCUGAACUCACUCUUCAAAG
Small nucleolar RNA from Choloepus hoffmanni (Hoffmann's two-fingered sloth), 82 nucleotides. NCBI's taxonomy places the organism in Eukaryota, Metazoa, Chordata, Mammalia, Pilosa, Megalonychidae. The record is from Ensembl.